This 406-nucleotide ribosomal RNA is filed under the name uncultured bacterium. Its description in RNAcentral is "partial 16S ribosomal RNA". It matches the Rfam family "Bacterial small subunit ribosomal RNA", at positions 30 to 526 of the family's 1533-position model. The record is from RNAcentral.
AUUGAACGCUGGCGGCAGGCCUAACACAUGCAAGUCGAACGAGUGGCGGACGGGUGAGUAAUGUGUGGGAAACUGCCUGAAGGAGGGGGAUAACUACUGGAAACGGUAGCUAAUACCGCAUACCAUCAGAUGUGCCCAGAUGGGAUUAGCUGGUUGGUGGGGUAACGGCUCACCAAGGCGACGAUCCCUCGCUGGUCUGAGAGGAUGACCAGCCACACUGGAACGGUGACACCUUCCAUACUCCUCCGGGAGGCAGCAGUGGGUAAUCUUGCACAAUGGGCGCAAGCCUGACUCAGCCAUGCCGCGUGUAUGAAGAAGGCCUUCGGGUUGUAAAGUACUUUCAGCCGAGAGGCGUUUGCCUCAUAAGAAGCACCGGCUAACUCCGUGCCAGCAGCCGCGGUAAUUC